AGUGGCAGACGGGUGAGUAACACGUGGGUAAUCUACCCCAAAGACUGGGACAACAGUUAGAAAUGACUGCUAAUACCGGAUAAUUCAUAUUUAGAUAACUAGAUAUGCUAAAAGGAGCCUUUAAAGCUUCACUUUGGGAUGAGCUUGCGGCGCAUUAGUUAGUUGGUGGGGUAAUGGCCUACCAAGACUACGAUGCGUAUCCGAGCUGAGAGGCUGAACGGACACAUUGGGACUGAGACACGGCCCAAACUCCUACGGGAGACAGCAGUUAGGAAUAUUCGUCAAUGGGGGAAACCCUGAACGAGCAAUGCCGCGUGAGUGAUGAAGGUCUUAUUGAUCGUAAAACUCUGUUGUAAGAGACGAAACCACAGUAUAGGAAAUGAUACUGUGCUGACGGUAUCUUACCAGAAAGCCCCGGCUAACUACGUGCCAGCAGCCGCGGUAAUACGUAGGGGGCGAGCGUUAUCCGGAUUUAUUGGGUGUAAAGGGUGCGUAGGCGGUUUAUUAAGUCUAAAAUUAAAGCCUGGGGCUUAACCUCAGCUCGUUUUAGAAACUGGUAGGCUUGAGUAUGGUAGAGGUAAGUGGAAUUUCUAGUGUAGCGGUUAAAUGCGUAGAUAUUAGAAGGAACACCAGUGGCGAAGGCGGCUUACUGGGCCAUUACUGACGCUGAUGCACGAAAGCGUGGGGAGCAAAUAGGAUUAGAUACCCUAGUAGUCCACGCU
RNAcentral lists this ribosomal RNA (722 nucleotides) under uncultured bacterium. RNAcentral describes it as "bacterial SSU rRNA". It matches the Rfam family "Bacterial small subunit ribosomal RNA", at positions 94 to 801 of the family's 1533-position model. The record is from RNAcentral.